UACGUAGGGGGCUAGCGUUGUCCGGAAUCAUUGGGCGUAAAGAGCGCGUAGGCGGCUCGGUAAGUCCGCUGUAAAAGUCAAAGGCUCAACCUUUGAAUGUCAGUGGAAACUGCCGGGCUAGAGUCCGGAAGAGGCGAGUGGAAUUCCUGGUGUAGCGGUGGAAUGCGCAGAUAUCAGGAGGAACACCAGCGGCGAAGGCAGCUCGCUGGGACGGUACUGACGCUGAGGCGCGAAAGCGUGGGGAGCGAACAGG
This 253-nucleotide ribosomal RNA is filed under the name uncultured bacterium. RNAcentral's name for it is "partial 16S ribosomal RNA". It matches the Rfam family "Bacterial small subunit ribosomal RNA", at positions 524 to 776 of the family's 1533-position model. The record is from RNAcentral.